GACGAACGCUGGCGGCGUGCUUAACACAUGCAAGUCGAACGGUGAAGGGAUCAGCUUGCUGGUUCUGGAUGAGUGGCGAACGGGUGAGUAACACGUGAGUAACCUGCCCCCUUCUUCUGGAUAACCGCAUGAAAGUGUGGCUAAUACGGGAUAUUCUGGGUCUGUCGCAUGAUGGGUCUGGGAAAGAUAUUGUUUCGGUGGGGGAUGGGCUCGCGGCCUAUCAGCUUGUUGGUGGGGUGAUGGCCUACCAAGGCGGUGACGGGUAGCCGGCCUGAGAGGGUGGACGGUCACACUGGGACUGAGACACGGCCCAGACUCAUACGGGAGGAAGCAGUGGGGAAUAUUGCACAAUGGGCGCAAGCCUGAUGCAGCGACGCCGCGUGAGGGAGGGAGGCCUUCGGGUUGUAAACCUCUUUCGCCAGUGAAGCAGGCCUGCUCCUUGUGGGUGGGUUGACGGUAGCUGGAUAAGAAGCGCCGGCUAACUACGUG
RNAcentral lists this ribosomal RNA (489 nucleotides) under uncultured bacterium. RNAcentral describes it as "partial 16S ribosomal RNA". It matches the Rfam family "Bacterial small subunit ribosomal RNA", at positions 28 to 507 of the family's 1533-position model. The record is from RNAcentral.